UUUCUGUAGGUGAACCUGCGGAAGGAUCAUUACAGAGUUCAUGCCCUCACGGGUAGAUCUCCCACCCUUGAAUAUUUAUACCUUAGUUGCUUUGGCAGGCCGUGGAAGCACCAUGGGCUCCGGCUUAUGCGUGCCUGCCAGAGGAAACAAACUCUGUUUUUAGUGAUGUCUGAGUACUAUAUAAUAGUUAAAACUUUCAACAACGGAUCUCUUGGUUCUG
RNAcentral lists this unclassified non-coding RNA (220 nucleotides) under plant metagenome. RNAcentral describes it as "partial contains small subunit ribosomal RNA, internal transcribed spacer 1, and 5.8S ribosomal RNA". The record is from RNAcentral.